UCAGGAUGUCGCGACUGGCGUUGAGGUGGAGGUCCACCGGGGAGCGACGACACCUGUGACAUCGGGACCGUUCGCCUGGGCCCCACGU
This 88-nucleotide non-coding RNA is filed under the name Aeromicrobium marinum. RNAcentral's name for it is "ZTP sequence". It matches the Rfam family "ZMP/ZTP riboswitch aptamer (pfl RNA motif)". From Rfam's summary of the family: Previously known as pfl RNA. RNAcentral also lists the same sequence under 1 other name. The record is from RNAcentral. Lineage: Bacteria; Bacillati; Actinomycetota; Actinomycetes; Propionibacteriales; Nocardioidaceae.